RNAcentral lists this unclassified non-coding RNA (1397 nucleotides) under Hevea brasiliensis (rubber tree). The record is from RNAcentral. Lineage: Eukaryota; Viridiplantae; Streptophyta; Magnoliopsida; Malpighiales; Euphorbiaceae.
AGUAUAUUAAAAUUUAACCGAACCAGUUUGAUUUCACGAGGUCUCGAUUCUAAUUUCAAUUCCAUCUAAUUCAAAAAUGAUUUCUGAUUUUUGACGAUUUCAAUUUGACAACAGUAAAAGAAGAUUCUCCAAUUCAGGAGGGGAGAAGAAGAACAACUAGGAUUACACAUAAGACUCGAGUAAGAAAGCCAAUCCACCAACUUGUUGGCUGAUCUGUUUGGCCACGUAAUCCUAUAGCUCUCCAAGGCAAGAGCACAACGGCAGCAAUUUCCCAUGGAAUUUACUCAUUCUCAUCUGCACAACACAAUGCUGCCAAAGAAUCCCAUUCCGUAGAUGCUGGUAAAGUAACAUCAACAACAUUGAAUACCAUUAAAUAAUGUACGUUUUAACCCAUUUUAUUACUUUAAUUCAAUACAAAACAUAUUGAGCUUAACAACACAACCAGCUUGAUUUCGCCCCAUUCGGUCAAGAUAUGUGAGUUCAAGUCGAAGCCAAUUGUAUAAAAAUAUAUAUAUAAUCAUACGAUAUAAUUAACCAUACAGGCAUGUCAAAAGUAUUAUGGUUGCAAGGACGUAUAGGAGCAUAGUUAUGUUAUUCAGAAAGUGAUGAAACAAAAAUGUCAACUUUUCCUACAUCUAAGAUCUAAUCAAGUUACUCAUAAGCCACAAUCUAAUUUUCCAUUAGAACACCAUGCGCAUAAGUCAUGUAAUUAAUUAUAUUGUCUUACUAUAAUAACUUUAAGUUGAAAAAAAUUGUGCAUUGGUGAAGACAAUUUAACAAGUAGCAAGCAUUGAAGCAAUGCUUAAUCUUCUGCAAAUAGGUAAGGGAAUAAAAAAAAAUGUCAUAAAAAAAAUGUUAAUUCCCCCUUUGGAUUGAAACUCAAUCUAAUACAUUAAAUUGCAGAGUGAUUGACUUUGUUUCUGAUGCAGAAUUUAUUCUUGCACAACAAAGACAAGUAUGUUACAAUAUUUUUUUUUUUCUUACCAAAAAUUAUCUAGAAUUUAUCAUAUACUCAAGUCACAAACUUGCUAAGCCACCUAUUUUAUAUGUAAAACCCAUUAUACAUAUUGUGUCUUGGCUCCAUGAUAAACGAAUUUAAGUAAGAAUUUUCUCAGUUUUUAUAUCACAAUGCAAGUGAGAUAAAUUGCACAAUGCAUCGAUAAGAAGUUGAAUUAUAUAGCAUAUACAUCAUUAAAAUUUCAUAUGAGCAAGUGCACUAAGAAAAAUAAUCAAAAUCCAAAUUCCAGCUAUAAUUAAGAGUAAAUCACCUGCUUACCCUUUGGUCAACGAACAUGGAGAAAGGGAAAGAAAAUUACUUUGGGCACAUACUAUGACAACAAUAGAGAGCACGCUUGUAAAUAAUCAUGUCCCUUGCAUGAAAUGCUGACAAAUGUGCU